AACUUUUAACGGUGGAUCUCUUGGCUCACGCAUCGAUGAAGAACGCAGCCAGCUGCGAUAAGUAGUGUGAAUUGCAGAAUUCAGUGAAUCAUCGAAUCUUUGGACGCAAAUGGCGCUCUUGGGUUCUCCCAGGAGCAUGUCUGUCUGAGUGUCGGAU
This 157-nucleotide ribosomal RNA is filed under the name Siderastrea siderea. RNAcentral's name for it is "5.8S ribosomal RNA". It matches the Rfam family "5.8S ribosomal RNA". Rfam says of the family: 5.8S ribosomal RNA (5.8S rRNA) is a component of the large subunit of the eukaryotic ribosome. It is transcribed by RNA polymerase I as part of the 45S precursor that also contains 18S and 28S rRNA. The record is from RNAcentral. Lineage: Eukaryota; Metazoa; Cnidaria; Anthozoa; Scleractinia; Rhizangiidae.